AACUAUCAACCAUGUCUCGAUUGACUUUGAGCACAUGGCUUGGAUGUGGGGGUUGCUGGCUGCGAAAGCGGUCAGCUCUCCUUAAACGCAUUAGCAAAGGGGUGUGCUAUGGUCUUCUGGACGUGCACGGCCUUUGACGUGAUAAUGAUCGUUGUGGCUGGAGCACCAAACCAAUGUAGGGA
RNAcentral lists this unclassified non-coding RNA (182 nucleotides) under uncultured Boletus. Its description in RNAcentral is "sequence contains ITS2". Lineage: Eukaryota; Fungi; Basidiomycota; Agaricomycetes; Boletales; Boletaceae. The record is from RNAcentral.